This 144-nucleotide unclassified non-coding RNA is filed under the name uncultured Lophiostoma. RNAcentral describes it as "sequence contains ITS1". The record is from RNAcentral. Lineage: Eukaryota; Fungi; Ascomycota; Dothideomycetes; Pleosporales; Lophiostomataceae.
UCGUAGGGCUUCUGCCCUGUCGAGAUAGCGUCCUUGCCUAUUUUUUGGAGUACCUUUUCGUUUCCUCAGCAGGCUUGCCUGCUACUGGGGACCCUUUAAACUCUUUGUAAAUACAGUAACUGUCUGAAUAAAAAACAAAAAUCA